CCUACGGGAGGCAGCAGUGAGGAAUAUUGGUCAAUGGACGAGAGUCUGAACCAGCCAAGUAGUGUGAAGGAUGACUGCCCUAUGGGUUGUAAACUUCUUUUAUAUGGGAAUAAAAUGUUCCACGUGUGGGAUUUUGUAUGUACCAUAUGAAUAAGGAUCGGCUAACUCCGUGCCAGCAGCAGCGGUAAUACGGAGGAUCCGAGCGUUAUCCGGAGUUAUUGGGUUUAAAGGGAGCGUAGGUGGAUUGUUAAGUCAGUUGUGAAAGUUUGCGGCUCAACCGUAAAAUUGCAGUUGAAACUGGCAGUCUUGAGUACAGUAGAGGUGGGCGGAAUUCGUGGUGUAGCGGUGAAAUGCUUAGAUAUCACGAAGAACUCCGAUUGCGAAGGCAGUUCACUGGACUGCAACUGACACUGAGGCUCGAAAGUGUGGGUAUCAAACAGGAUUAGAUACCCUGGUAGUC
Molecule: ribosomal RNA, 460 nt
Filed under: uncultured bacterium
Lineage: Bacteria
Description: partial 16S ribosomal RNA
Rfam family: Bacterial small subunit ribosomal RNA
Source: RNAcentral